GACGAACGCUGGCGGCGUGCUUAACACAUGCAAGUCGAACGAUGAAGCCGGAGCUUGCUCUGGUGAAUUAGUGGCGAACGGGUGAGUAACACGUGAGUAACCUGCCCUUGACUCUGGGAUAACUGCGGGAAACUGUAGCUAAUACCGGAUACGACCCUCGGAGGCAUCUCCUGGGGGUGGAAAGAAUUUCGGUCAAGGAUGGACUCGCGGCCUAUCAGCUAGUUGGUGAGGUAAAGGCUCACCAAGGCGACGACGGGUAGCCGGCCUGAGAGGGUGACCGGCCACACGGGGACUGAGCCACGGCCCAGGCUCCUACGGGAGGCAGCAGUGGGGAAUAUUGCACAAUGGGCGCAAGCCUGAUGCAGCAACGCCGCGUGAGGGAUGACGGCCUUCGGGUUGUAAACCUCUUUUAGCAGGGAAGAAGCGAAAGUGACGGUACCUGCAGAAAAAGCACCGGCUAACUACGUGCCAGCAGCCGCCGUAA
Molecule: ribosomal RNA, 484 nt
Filed under: uncultured bacterium
Lineage: Bacteria
Description: partial 16S ribosomal RNA
Rfam family: Bacterial small subunit ribosomal RNA
Source: RNAcentral